RNAcentral lists this ribosomal RNA (520 nucleotides) under uncultured bacterium. RNAcentral's name for it is "bacterial SSU rRNA". It matches the Rfam family "Bacterial small subunit ribosomal RNA", at positions 8 to 518 of the family's 1533-position model. The record is from RNAcentral.
AGAGUUUGAUUCUGGCUCAGGAUGAACGCUAGCGACAGGCUUAACACAUGCAAGUCGAGGGGCAUUACGGGAGUAGCAAUACAACUGGUGGCGACCGGCGCACGGGUGAGUAACGCGUAUGCAACCUACCUAUCAGAGGGGAAUAACCCGGCGAAAGUCGGACUAAUACCGCAUAAAACAGGGGCACCGCAUGGUGAUAUUUGUUAAAGAAAUUCGCUGAUAGAUGGGCAUGCGUUCCAUUAGGUAGUUGGUGAGGUAACGGCUCACCAAGCCGACGAUGGAUAGGGGAACUGAGAGGUUGGUCCCCCACACUGGUACUGAGACACGGACCAGACUCCUACGGGAGGCAGCAGUGAGGAAUAUUGGUCAAUGGGCGGGAGCCUGAACCAGCCAAGUCGCGUGAAAGGAAGAAGGAUCUAUGGUUCGUAAACUUCUUUUGCAGGGGAAUAAAGUGCAGGACGUGUCCUGUUUUGUAUGUACCCUGAGAAUAAGGAUCGGCUAACUCCGUGCCAGCCGCUGC